RNAcentral lists this ribosomal RNA (1456 nucleotides) under Cyanobium sp. JJ9-A3. RNAcentral's name for it is "16S ribosomal RNA". It matches the Rfam family "Bacterial small subunit ribosomal RNA". The record is from RNAcentral. Lineage: Bacteria; Bacillati; Cyanobacteriota; Cyanophyceae; Synechococcales; Prochlorococcaceae.
GAUGAACGCUGGCGGCGUGCUUAACACAUGCAAGUCGAACGAACCUUCGGGUUAGUGGCGGACGGGUGAGUAACGCGUGGGAAUCUGCCCUCAGGAGGGGGAUAACGGCUGGAAACGGCCGCUAAUACCCCAUAUGCCGAGAGGUGAAAUGAAUUUCGCCUGAGGAUGAGCCCGCGUCUGAUUAGCUAGUUGGUGGGGUAAGAGCCUACCAAGGCGACGAUCAGUAGCUGGUCUGAGAGGAUGAUCAGCCACACUGGGACUGAGACACGGCCCAGACUCCUACGGGAGGCAGCAGUGGGGAAUUUUCCGCAAUGGGCGAAAGCCUGACGGAGCAACGCCGCGUGAGGGACGAAGGCCUCUGGGCUGUAAACCUCUUUUCUCAAGGAAGAAGAUCUGACGGUACUUGAGGAAUAAGCCACGGCUAAUUCCGUGCCAGCAGCCGCGGUAAUACGGGAGUGGCAAGCGUUAUCCGGAAUUAUUGGGCGUAAAGCGUCCGCAGGCGGCUUUGUAAGUCUGCUGUCAAAGCGUGGAGCUUAACUCCAUUUCGGCAGUGGAAACUACGAGGCUUGAGUGUGGUAGGGGCAGAGGGAAUUCCCGGUGUAGCGGUGAAAUGCGUAGAUAUCGGGAAGAACACCAGUGGCGAAGGCGCUCUGCUGGGCCAUAACUGACGCUCAUGGACGAAAGCCAGGGGAGCGAAAGGGAUUAGAUACCCCUGUAGUCCUGGCCGUAAACGAUGAACACUAGGUGUCGGGGGAAUCGACCCCCUCGGUGUCGUAGCCAACGCGUUAAGUGUUCCGCCUGGGGAGUACGCACGCAAGUGUGAAACUCAAAGGAAUUGACGGGGGCCCGCACAAGCGGUGGAGUAUGUGGUUUAAUUCGAUGCAACGCGAAGAACCUUACCAGGGUUUGACAUCCUGCGAAUCCCUUGGAAACUUGGGAGUGCCUUCGGGAGCGCAGAGACAGGUGGUGCAUGGCUGUCGUCAGCUCGUGUCGUGAGAUGUUGGGUUAAGUCCCGCAACGAGCGCAACCCACGUCUUUAGUUGCCAGCAUUUAGUUGGGCACUCUAGAGAGACCGCCGGUGAUAAACCGGAGGAAGGUGUGGAUGACGUCAAGUCAUCAUGCCCCUUACAUCCUGGGCUACACACGUACUACAAUGCUACGGACAAAGGGCAGCAAACUCGCGAGAGCUAGCAAAUCCCAUAAACCGUGGCUCAGUUCAGAUCGUAGGCUGCAACUCGCCUACGUGAAGGAGGAAUCGCUAGUAAUCGCAGGUCAGCAUACUGCGGUGAAUACGUUCCCGGGCCUUGUACACACCGCCCGUCACACCAUGGAAGUUGGCCAUGCCCGAAGUCGUUACUCCAACCCUUGUGGAGGAGGACGCCGAAGGUGGGGCUGAUGACUGGGGUGAAGUCGUAACAAGGUAGCCGUACCGGAAGGUGCGGCUGGAUCACCUCCU